ACAAACCGCCUACGAGCUCUUUACGCCCAAUAAAUCCGGACAACGCUUGCCCCCUACGUAUUACCGCGGCUGCUGGCACGUAGUUAGCCGGGGCUUCUUCUGGAGGUACCGUCACCCUCUAGGCUAUUAACCCGAGUGGCUUCGUCCCCCCUGAAAGAGGUUUACAACCCGAAGGCCUUCUUCCCUCACGCGGCGUCGCUGCGUCAGGCUUUCGCCCAUUGCGCAAGAUUCCCUACUGCUGCCUCCCGUAGGAGUCUGGGCCGUGUCUCAGUCCCAGUGUGGCUGAUCGUCCUCUCAGACCAGUUACGGAUCGUCGCCUUGGUGAGCCAUUACCUCACCAACUAGCUAAUCCGACCUAGCUCAUCUGAUAGCGCAAGGCCCGAAGGUCCCCUGCUUUCUCCCGUAGACGUAUGCGGUAUUAGCGUCCCUUUCGAGACGUUGUCCCCCACUACCAGCAGAUUCCUAGGCAUUACUCACCCGUCCGCCGCUGAAUCAGGAGCAAGCUCCCUUCAUCCGCUCGACUUGCAUGUGUUAGGCUGCCGCCAGCGUUCA
RNAcentral lists this ribosomal RNA (552 nucleotides) under uncultured bacterium. RNAcentral describes it as "partial 16S ribosomal RNA". The record is from RNAcentral.